RNAcentral lists this ribosomal RNA (497 nucleotides) under uncultured bacterium. Its description in RNAcentral is "partial 16S ribosomal RNA". It matches the Rfam family "Bacterial small subunit ribosomal RNA", at positions 28 to 507 of the family's 1533-position model. The record is from RNAcentral.
GAUGAACGCUGGCGGCGUGCCUAAUACAUGCAAGUCGAGCGAACAGACGAGGAGCUUGCUCCUCUGACGUUAGCGGCGGACGGGUGAGUAACACGUGGAUAACCUACCUAUAAGACUGGGAUAACUUCGGGAAACCGGAGCUAAUACCGGAUAAUAUAUUGAACCGCAUGAUUCAAUAGUGAAAGACGGUUUUGCUGUCACUUAUAGAUGGAUCCGCGCCGCAUUAGCUAGUUGGUAAGGUAACGGCUUACCAAGGCAACGAUGCGUAGCCGACCUGAGAGGGUGAUCGGCCACACUGGAACUGAGACACGGUCCAGACUCCUACGGGAGGCAGCAGUGGGGAAUAUUCCGCAAUGGGCGAAAGCCUGACGGAGCAACGCCGCGUGAGUGAUGAAGGUCUUCGGAUCGUAAAACUCUGUUAUUAGGGAAGAACAAAUGUGUAAGUAACUAUGCACGUCUUGACGGUACCUAAUCAGAAAGCCACGGCUAACUACGUG